UGGGACGUGGCCAAGUGGUAAGGCAACGGGUUUUGGUCCCGUCAUACGUAGGUUCGAUCCCUACCGUCCCAGCCA
Molecule: transfer RNA, 75 nt
Filed under: Candidatus Saccharimonadota bacterium
Lineage: Bacteria; Candidatus Saccharimonadota
Description: tRNA-Gln
Rfam family: tRNA
About the family: Transfer RNA (tRNA) molecules are approximately 80 nucleotides in length. Their secondary structure includes four short double-helical elements and three loops (D, anti-codon, and T loops).
Source: RNAcentral